GGUCCAGUAGCACCUUAAAGACCAACUAAGUUUGUUCUGGGUAUAAGCUAUAAGGCGGGGAAAAGCUUAUACCCAGAACAAACUUAGUUGGUCUCUAAGGUGCUACUGGACA
This is a non-coding RNA of Podarcis lilfordi (Lilford's wall lizard), 112 nucleotides long. The record is from the annotation of a GenBank genome assembly. NCBI's taxonomy places the organism in Eukaryota, Metazoa, Chordata, Lepidosauria, Squamata, Lacertidae.